AGGUGGAUGUGUGGUGGGGUUAAAGGAAUCUGAUUUUGAGAUUGUGGUCAUGCUCCUGCACUCUGCACACCCACUUCU
MicroRNA precursor from Oreochromis aureus, 78 nucleotides. NCBI's taxonomy places the organism in Eukaryota, Metazoa, Chordata, Actinopteri, Cichliformes, Cichlidae. The record is from Ensembl.